GAAAUGCGAUAAGUAAUGUGAAUUGCAGAAUUCAGUGAAUCAUCGAAUCUUUGAACGCACAUUGCGCCCGCCAGCACUCUGGCGGGCAUGCCUGUUCGAGCGUCAUUUCAACCCUCAGAACCCCUUGCGGGAUCUGGCGUUGGGGAUGGGCAUCCAGCCAGCCCCGAAAUCUAGUGGCGGUCCCUCCGCGACCUCCCCUGUGCAGUAGCGAUACCUCGCAGCGGGACAGCGGUCUGACCACGCCGUAAAACCCCCAACUUCUCAAGGUUGACCUCGAAUCAGGUAGGAAUACCCGCUGAACUUAAGC
This 307-nucleotide unclassified non-coding RNA is filed under the name plant metagenome. Its description in RNAcentral is "partial contains 5.8S ribosomal RNA, internal transcribed spacer 2, and large subunit ribosomal RNA". The stretch from base 1 to 105 matches the Rfam family "5.8S ribosomal RNA", at positions 50 to 154 of the family's 154-position model. The record is from RNAcentral.